AAAAAGGCAAACCAUAAAUUUUCGUGUCCAACAUUGACUGUCCGUUUUAUAUAAACAAAUUUUAUAAUUCGUAUUUUCAUUGUUGUUAGAUGAUAAAACAUGAUUAAUAUUUUAUGCGUGACUUGUCUUUUUAAUUUUUUUCAUAAUUUUUUCAAAUAAAACGGAUGGUCAAACGUUGGACACGGAAAACAGGGUUUGUCUUUUU
Molecule: microRNA precursor, 205 nt
Organism: Oryza sativa Indica Group (long-grained rice)
Lineage: Eukaryota; Viridiplantae; Streptophyta; Magnoliopsida; Poales; Poaceae
Rfam family: MIR812 microRNA precursor family
Source: Rfam